Molecule: long non-coding RNA, 308 nt
Organism: Ipomoea nil (Japanese morning glory)
Lineage: Eukaryota; Viridiplantae; Streptophyta; Magnoliopsida; Solanales; Convolvulaceae
Exons: 2
Source: RefSeq, a predicted model, not a curated record
GUGCUUUUGCCCAUUCCUCCCCUCACUAGUUGAGUAGACAUAUCAUUGUUUGUUUACUCUUUAACUUUUUGGGUUUCUUUGCUCUUGAUGUUCUUUUUAGGUUUAAUCCAGGAUUGUGUGGUUGAUUAAGCUAGUUCCUAGAGGAGGGAGCCAGUCCAUUCAGAGUUGUAUGAUGAUCAUUAGUGCUCAGAUCGUGGAUUUGAUAUCAAGUUCAAGGCUCCGGAUCUGUUCUAGUUGAGCAAAUAGAUUGGUUUGAUCAUUAAGCGUUCAGUUAUCCUAUUCUUGGUUUUCUGGAAAUUUUGAGUUUA